Long non-coding RNA from Homo sapiens (human), 2456 nucleotides. NCBI's taxonomy places the organism in Eukaryota, Metazoa, Chordata, Mammalia, Primates, Hominidae. The record is from Ensembl.
CUUCGUGGUCUUUAUAGCUGUUACUCUUUUGUACUUUGUCUUUUUCUUUUAUUUUCUUUUGAGCGAUUGUGCGAACAUAGCAUAGCACGCACUAUGCCUUCUGUGUUGUAGCUGCCUGGCCAGGGCGACUGGCGGAUAAGGUCUUGUGCGUGGCCUCGAGGCUUAAAAGUAGCAGUGGGGCUUUGUGAAGGACAAAAUGGCGAUGGCGGGCCGUGUAGGUCCCCCUUCCUAUGAUGAGGACCUUUUCACAGACCUGUACUGAGCUCCGUGAGGAUAAAUAACUCUGAGGAGAUGGGCCCUGCAAGCCUCUUGCUUAGCCGUCUGUUCAGAAAAUAGCGUUUUCGAAAUGCCCUGAGUUGACCUAAUGUCUUAUUGGGCUCCUGUCUGCAGGAUUUACGCGCACGUUGGAACCGAAGAGAGCUCUGUUGUUGCACAUCUCAUAAUCUAUCCUGGGGAAUUCAGCUGCCUCCCAGGGUGAAUACAGGUAUUCCUGAUGACAGUCUGCCUCUAUCUUACAGUAAGUUGUUUUUCGAAUUCUAUGGGCCUAUUAUCUAAUAGAUAACUUAGCCAUUUUGAUAUUUGUUACCAAAGCCUGCUUAACCCAUAAAGUUUUCUGGUUCCUCUUGUUCUCUGUAGUGAUGUUUCUAGAUAGAUGCCCACUGAUAUAUGCCCCUUUUUUCUCAGAUAGAUGCCCACUGAUCUGCCCAGGGUCAGACGAAUGCUUGUCAGUUGUAGCUUUCCAGGAUUCUGCUCCAAUGAGGAGGAAACAUCCUGCCUUACCCCUGUUUUAGCCUGGGAACCAGUAAUUGUGAACUCACCAGGGUUAACAUGAAGAGGGCAUGAGAGCUUAUUCCAUAAGGAAUUGUCUGAGACAUUUGGUUACCUUUUCUUAGUUUGUCCAUUAGCAACCGUAACUAAAAUAGUUUUGGCUGUUUGGGAUAAUUAGCUAAUUGAAUGAUUUUUUGAUUCAGGAGCAGCUUGUUGCUAUAUACCAUUGAAAAGCCUUCAGAGCUGAGAGGUUAGUUGAUAUUUUUUGUUCCUUACAGCUUAUGCCACCAAGUAGGCAGUUUCUAUGAUGAAUCAAACUAGCUCACUAUGACCGACAGUGAAAAUACAUGAACACCUGAGAAACUGGAGAACGCAGGGAGUGGGGGGUAACCAUGUCUGAGGAAUCUUUCACCCACAGCUUUGUUUUUCUCUAGGUACUACUAACCAAUAACCUGCUUGGCUCAAAGGGCCAGCACCUUCUCUCUAAAGCCCAAGAGGAGUUUGAGGUAAAUGGCUUUGCAAUAGUUACCAUCAAUGGCUGCUAUAUAAAAUUUUCUGUGAUUUUUGUGUGUGAUAGCACUGUGGUCUGGGUGAAUGUACACAGACAUAACUGGCUUAACCCAAAGUCUUUGAUCUCCUGAACCACCAGUGAUGAAUUGCUGCUCACCAGUGAUGAGUUGAAUACCGCCCCAGUCUGAUCAAUGUGUGACUGAAAGGUAUUUUCUGAGCUGUGAGCCUGCCUUCCAGUGACAUGUUCUAAAAAUUGCAAGUUAUUUGAGGAGGCUUUACAGCCAAUAGGAAGUUCUUGGGCUAAGUAGUGUUUCCUAUAAAAUGUGCCCUGAAACUUCUUUCUGCCAAGCAAUAGAUACAAUUGAGAGAUUGUAAAAUGUGACAUAGAAUGAAAGUCUCUCAAGACUACAUUUUUCUUUCUUGAUUUUGCAGGAAAACUAGGUGUCUGUGUUCACUCCAGGCUGAAGUUACAGGUCUGAGCAAAUAAGGUGUAUAAAAAAUGGAAUCUGUCUUGGAGGACAUCAGAAGGUGAAUUUUCCAAGUUCUUGGACAACCUAGCUGUUGAAAAGCUUUCUGGGUUUGGGGGGUAUUUCAGAUGUACCUUAAAGUGUUAGCAGACACAGAUUAAGACACUGGGAGCCAAUGAAACAGCAGUUGAGGGUUUGCUGUGUAUCACAUUUCUGUAUUUUAUCACCCCCUUCCUGCAACAUUAUUUAUCUGGAAUCUACCUGCCCUUUUGUUUUUUAGAUACAAGGGCUUGGUUUUGUUACCCAGGCUGGUUUCAAGGCCAUAGCUUUAAGAGAUCCUCUCACCACAGAUUUCCAAAGUGCUGGGAUUGCAGGUGUGAUUCAUGGCACCCAGACUUUGCUGCCUUUCUUACAUGAUCCAGGCCCAGAACCCAAACUCAGGCACUGUAUAGAUGACCACUUUCGUAAACUACUGACCUAGCUUGUUGCCAAUUGUUGAUUGAACUUCCCAUAACUCCACUUCGUGUCUGUUCCUCUGUAUACAGCCACCUUCUGUUCCCGUCAUGAGCCUUUAGGUCUCCAUUUGCAUAUUGCAAAUACUAUGUUCCAUGUAGGUAGCUCAUUCAGGGCCUUGCUCUUCACUUCAAAAAAGGUUCCCUUGAGGACUGGCUGUCAAUUUGUGUUGCUGUGUUGGUUGUUGAUGAAAAUAAU